UACGAAGGGAGCUAGCGUUGUUCGGAAUCACUGGGCGUAAAGCGCACGUAGGCGGAUUUGCCAGUCAGGGGUGAAAUCCCGGGGCUCAACCUCGGAACUGCCUUUGAUACAGCAAGUCUUGAGUUCGAGAGAGGUGGGUGGAAUUCCUAGUGUAGAGGUGAAAUUCGUAGAUAUUAGGAAGAACACCGGUGGCGAAGGCGGCUCACUGGUCCGGUACUGACACUGAGGUGCGAAAGCGUGGGGAGCAAACAGG
RNAcentral lists this ribosomal RNA (253 nucleotides) under uncultured bacterium. RNAcentral describes it as "partial 16S ribosomal RNA". It matches the Rfam family "Bacterial small subunit ribosomal RNA", at positions 524 to 776 of the family's 1533-position model. The record is from RNAcentral.